Molecule: long non-coding RNA, 838 nt
Filed under: Phasianus colchicus (ring-necked pheasant)
Lineage: Eukaryota; Metazoa; Chordata; Aves; Galliformes; Phasianidae
Description: lncRNA (ENSPCLG00000016868.1)
Source: RNAcentral
GGAGGGGCCUGGAGGGGGGCGUGGCCUGGAGGGGGCGGGGAUUCGUGGUGGGCGCCUGGGUGGGGGCGUGGCCUGUGUGGUCUGACGAUGGAUCUGAUUGGGUGAUGCCUGGGUGUGGGCGUGGCCUAAGUGUGGGCGCCGUCUGAUUGGGCGUUGCCAAGGAUGGGCGGGGCCUGUGGGGUGGGCGUGGUCAGGUUAGGGGCGUGGUCUAAAAAGGGGGCGGGGGCUUGAAGGGGGCGUGGCCUAGGGGACGUGCUGUGAUUGGUGGGUGCGUUUUGGGGUAAUUUUGUGGGGAUUUGGGGUUUUUUGUUCCCCUGCAGGACACGAAGAGCGGCAGAACGGCGCUGCUGAGGGCCGUGGAGAGCAACAGCCUGGAGAUGGCGGAGCUGCUGCUCAGGGUGGGGCAUUUUGGGGCAAAAUCCGGGGAAAUUGGGGCUUUGGGGUCAGUUUGGGGUGAAAUUGGGGCUUUUUGGGGUCAUGUUGGGGUGAAAUUGGGAUUUUUUGGGGUCAUUUUGGGCUGAAAUUGGGGCUUUUUGGGGUCAGUUUGGGGUGUAAUUGGGAUUUUUUGGGGUCAUUUUGGGGUGGAAAUUCGGGCUUUUUGGGGUCAUUUUGGGGUGGAUUUGGGGCUUUUUGGGGUCAGUUUGGGGUGAAAUUGGGUCUUCUUGGGCUCCCUCACUACCCUCCUCUAUUCCCCAUUGCCCCAUACCGACCCCCAUUGACCCCAAUGACCCCCAUUGAUCCCCAUUGAACCCCGUUGCCCCAUACCGACCCCCAUUGACCCCCAUUGACCCCAUUGACCCCCAUUGCCCCUUACCGACCCCCAUUGACCCUCAUUGAC